GGCAGUUCUCAGGUGAUGCCCCCGGAAUCGAGCUCCCUUCUCUCUGGUUCUAGGGUGCAUCACCUGAGAACCUCA
Non-coding RNA from Myotis lucifugus (little brown bat), 75 nucleotides. The record is from Rfam. NCBI's taxonomy places the organism in Eukaryota, Metazoa, Chordata, Mammalia, Chiroptera, Vespertilionidae.